AUCCCAAACUAAGCCCCUCCCUGAUGGUUUCUGUCCACUAGUCCAGACCUCGGAGCUUUAUGUUUUUAAAAUGUUUGCAGAAGAAGUUAGUUUUUAAUUUUCUCCUGAACAUAAACACAAAAAAAUAUAUCCUGAUUUUCAGAGGCAAGGCUUCUUUUAUCAUGUCAGUUGCCUAGCAACAAUCCUCUCAGGAUCAUCGUGGGUGUUAAGGCUGUUUUAUGCUUCUGCGUCAACUUCACGCCGUAGCUACGCCGUGGCUCCUACGGCAUCGCGAGGCAGCGGGGUCUGAGGGGGGACCGUCGAUUUGACACAGAAGCAUAUAUCAGCCUUUAGACCCCAAACACAAAGGCCCAAACCUCCAUACUUCAUCCUUUAUGAUUCCUAAUAUUCAGAAUCAUUCAUUCAUAAACAGAAUCAUUCAUCAUUCAUGAACAGAAAAGGCCAAAACUGGAAGAUGUCAACAAAUGCAGAAAGAAAUGCCAAAAACGUGGAAAAAAGCCACAAACCUUUUCCUACCUGCUGUUGUUUCCGUCUGUCUGACAGUAACCUGGUAAACCGUGUCCAGGUAAACCGUGACCAGGUAAACCAUGACCAGGUAAACCAUGACCAGGUAAACCGUGACCAGGUAAACCAUGUUCAGGUAAACCCUGACCAGGUAAACCCUGACCAGGUAAACCGUGGCCAGGUAAACCAUGUUCAGGUAAACCCUGACCAGGUAAACCCUGACCAGGUAAACCGCGACUAGGUAAACCAUGACCAGGUGAACCGUGACCAGGUGAACCGUGACCAGGUGAACCAUGUUCAGGUAAACCCUGACCAGGUAAACCCUGACCAGGUAAACCGUGACCAGGUAAACCAUGUUCAGGUAAACCCUGACCAGGUAAACCCUGACCAGGUAAACCGUGACUAGGUAAACCAUGACCAGGUGAACCGUGACCAGGUAAACCGUGUCCAGGUAAACCGUGACUAGGUAAACUGUGACCAGGUAAACCCUGACCAGGUGAACUGUGUCCAGGUGAUUUUCGUUAAACGGUUCUGUCUUCAUUAGAUCUCAGCCUGAAGCUUCACAUUAACUUCCUCUGAGUUCACUGUUCUGUAUUUUCUUUCUUGCACUAUUGUCCCGUUCAGUAUAUCUAUGCAAACAUCAACGGCCAAUCGGCACACAGAAACAAACAUCAACAGCAAAUUAGCACGCAGAAACAAACUGAUAAUCGGCAGAGUGACAGAUGUUUUCAUAUUCUGCUUUUUAGUUUUGUUUUUGAUUUAAAAUUCUGGGCAAAAUUCUUCUAUUUUACUUUUAUUUUGUGUAAAUCUGCGUGUGCAGAUUGCGUGUGUCCUCUGGUGAUGAGGAGUUAACAUGUUUAAAACUAAAAUAAUAAAAUGUAUAAAUGUUCAAAUGUUAAUGACAUCAGAGUUAGCUUGAAGCUAACCCAGCCCAUUGGUUUGAAUGAGGAAUGAGUGCAAAAGGUCUCGGAGAUGUUAAAUUGUCACUCUGUCACUUUAAACCUCACUGCCAUGGUAACCACGCUCCCCUCCCAUUGGCCUGUUGCUGACGGUUGUUUUGAUGAUGUCACUGUUUGUUUGCCUUUUUUCUGUUUAGCUGAACCAAUCAGCUGCCAGCUUUCUCUGGAAUAAAAAAAAACUGUUGUUCAA
This is a long non-coding RNA of Perca fluviatilis (European perch), 1653 nucleotides long. RefSeq lists it as uncharacterized. NCBI's taxonomy places the organism in Eukaryota, Metazoa, Chordata, Actinopteri, Perciformes, Percidae. The transcript is spliced from 2 exons. The record is from RefSeq and is a predicted model, not a curated record.